RNAcentral lists this ribosomal RNA (460 nucleotides) under uncultured bacterium. Its description in RNAcentral is "partial 16S ribosomal RNA". It matches the Rfam family "Bacterial small subunit ribosomal RNA", at positions 338 to 795 of the family's 1533-position model. The record is from RNAcentral.
CCUACGGGUGGCAGCAGUGAGGAAUAUUGGACAAUGGACGAGAGUCUGAACCAGCCAAGUAGCGUGAAGGAUGAAUGCCCUAUGGGUUGUAAACUUCUUUUAUAAAGGAAUAAAACGAGGCACGUGUGCCUUUUUCCAUGUACUUUAUGAAUACGGAUCGGCUAACUCCGUGACAGCAGCCGCGGUAAUACGGAGGAUCAGAGCGUUAUCCGGAUUUAUUGGGUUUAAAGGGAGCGUAGAUGGGUUGUUAAGUCCGUUGUGAAAGUUUGCGGCUCAACCGUAAGAUUGCAAUUGAUACUGGCAGUCUUGAGUACAGUUGAGGUAGGCGGAAUUCGUGGUGUAGCGGUGAAAUGCGUAGAUAUCACGAAGAACCCCGAUGGCGAAGGCAGCUUACUAAACUGUGACUGACAUUGAUGCUCGAAAGUGUGGGUAUCAAACAGGAUUAGAUACCCCAGUAGUC